This 96-nucleotide transfer RNA is filed under the name Oceanithermus desulfurans NBRC 100063. Its description in RNAcentral is "tRNA-Glu". The record is from RNAcentral. Lineage: Bacteria; Thermotogati; Deinococcota; Deinococci; Thermales; Thermaceae.
UGGGGCUGGUGUACGCGGCCGACGCGGGCGUUCUCUACGCCCGUUACUGCCAGGUCUGCCACCGGGAGGACGGCUCGGGCACCCCCGGCACCUUCC